CCCGGGUCUUGUACACACCGCCCGUCACACCACGAAAGCCCGCUGCAACAGAAGUAUGCUCUUGGAGCAUCCGAAGUUGUGGUUGGUGAUUGGGGUG
RNAcentral lists this ribosomal RNA (97 nucleotides) under uncultured bacterium. Its description in RNAcentral is "partial 16S ribosomal RNA". It matches the Rfam family "Bacterial small subunit ribosomal RNA", at positions 1373 to 1482 of the family's 1533-position model. The record is from RNAcentral.